This 427-nucleotide ribosomal RNA is filed under the name uncultured bacterium. RNAcentral's name for it is "bacterial SSU rRNA". It matches the Rfam family "Bacterial small subunit ribosomal RNA", at positions 354 to 796 of the family's 1533-position model. The record is from RNAcentral.
GCAAGGAAUUUUGCGCAAUGGGCGAAAGCCUGACGCAGCAACGCCGCGUGGGUGAAGAAGGCCUUCGGGUCGUAAAGCCCUUUUGUUGGGGAAGAAGUUCUGACGGUACCCAACGAAUAAGCCUCGGCUAACUACGUGCCAGCAGCCGCGGUAAUACGUAGGAGGCGAGCGUUAUCCGGAUUUAUUGGGCGUAAAGAGCGCGUAGGCGGCCUAUUAAGUCGGUUGUGAAAUCUCCCGGCUCAACUGGGAGGGGUCGACCGAAACUGGUGGGCUUGAGGACAGCAGAGGGAAGUGGAAUUCCCGGUGUAGUGGUGAAAUGCGUAGAUAUCGGGAGGAACACCAGUGGCGAAGGCGGCUUUCUGGGCUGUUCCUGACGCUGAGGCGCAAAAGCGUGGGGAGCAAACAGGAUUAGAAACCCCGGUAGUCC